GACAGAGGGGGCAAGCGUUGCUCGGAAUCACUGGGCGUAAAGGGCGCGUAGGCGGGAUGGCCAGUCAGUCGUGAAAUCUCUCGGCUCAACCGAGAAACGUCGGCUGAUACUGCCGUUCUUGAGGGAUGCAGAGGAGACUGGAAUUCCCGGUGUAGCGGUGAAAUGUGUAGAGAUCGGGAGGAACACCGGUGGCGAAGGCGGGUCUCUGGGCAUCUCCUGACGCUGAGGCGCGAAAGCGUGGGGAGCAAACGGG
This 253-nucleotide ribosomal RNA is filed under the name uncultured bacterium. RNAcentral describes it as "partial 16S ribosomal RNA". It matches the Rfam family "Bacterial small subunit ribosomal RNA", at positions 524 to 776 of the family's 1533-position model. The record is from RNAcentral.